UACGAAGGGAGCUAGCGUUGUUCGGAAUCACUGGGCGUAAAGCGCACGUAGGCGGAUGUGUCAGUCAGGGGUGAAAUCCCGGAGCUCAACUUCGGAACUGCCCUUGAUACAGCACGUCUUGAGUCCGGGAGAGGUGAGUGGAACUGCGAGUGUAGAGGUGAAAUUCGUAGAUAUUCGCAAGAACACCAGUGGCGAAGGCGGCUCACUGGCCCGGUACUGACGCUGAGGUGCGAAAGCGUGGGGAGCAAACGGG
Molecule: ribosomal RNA, 253 nt
Filed under: uncultured bacterium
Lineage: Bacteria
Description: partial 16S ribosomal RNA
Rfam family: Bacterial small subunit ribosomal RNA
Source: RNAcentral